UCAAGCGACUAAGUGCAUAUGGUGGAUGCCUUGGCGAUCACAGGCGAUGAAGGACGUAGUAGCCUGCGAAAAGCUGCGGGGAGCUGGCAAACAAGCUUUGAUCCGCAGAUAUCCGAAUGGGGAAACCCACUGCAGCAAUGCAGUAUCCCUAGCUGAAUACAUAGGCUAGUGGAAGCGAACCGGGUGAACUGAAACAUCUCAGUAGCUCGAGGAAAAGAAAUCAACCGAGAUUCCGAAAGUAGUGGCGAGCGAAAUCGGAUGAGCCUUUACGUUUUAGCACGCAGGAUAGUCGAACGGAAUGGAAAGUCCGGCCGUAGCAGGUGAUAGCCCUGUAGACGAAAUUCUGUGUGUGGAACUAAGCGUAAGACAAGUAGGGCGGGACACGUGAAAUCCUGUUUGAAGAUGGGGGGACCAUCCUCCAAGGCUAAAUACUCGUGAUCGACCGAUAGUGAACCAGUACCGUGAGGGAAAGGCGAAAAGAACCCCGGAAGGGGAGUGAAAUAGAUCCUGAAACCGUAUGCAUACAAACAGUAGGAGCCUCCUUGUGGGGUGACUGCGUACCUUUUGUAUAAUGGGUCAGCGACUUACAUUCAGUGGCAAGGUUAACCGAAUAGGGAAGCCGUAGCGAAAGCGAGUCCGAAUAGGGCGAUUCAGUCGCUGGGUGUAGACCCGAAACCAGAUGAUCUAUCCAUGGCCAGGUUGAAGGCACGGUAACACGUGCUGGAGGACCGAACCCACUAAUGUUGAAAAAUUAGGGGAUGAGCUGUGGAUAGGGGUGAAAGGCUAAACAAAUCUGGAAAUAGCUGGUUCUCUCCGAAAACUAUUUAGGUAGUGCCUCAAGUAUUACUGCGGGGGGUAGAGCACUGUUAUAGCUAGGGGGUCAUGGCGACUUACCAAACUAUGGCAAACUCCGAAUACCCGCAAGUACAGCUUGGGAGACAGAGCACCGGGUGCUAACGUCCGGACUCAAGAGGGAAACAACCCAGACCGCCAGCUAAGGUCCCGAAUUAUCGCUAAGUGGGAAACGAAGUGGGAAGGCAUAGACAGUCAGGAGGUUGGCUUAGAAGCAGCCAUCCUUUAAAGAAAGCGUAAUAGCUCACUGAUCGAGUCGUCCUGCGCGGAAGAUGUAACGGGGCUAAGCGAUAAACCGAAGCUGCGGGUGUGCACUUUUAGUGCACGCGGUAGGAGAGCGUUCUGUAAGCCUGCGAAGGUGGCUUGUAAAGGCUGCUGGAGGUAUCAGAAGUGCGAAUGCUGACAUGAGUAGCGAUAAAGGGGGUGAAAAGCCCCCUCGCCGUAAGUCCAAGGUUUCCUGCGCAACGUUCAUCGGCGCAGGGUGAGUCGGCCCCUAAGGCGAGGCAGAGAUGCGUAGCUGAUGGGAAGCUGGUUAAUAUUCCAGCACCGUCGUACAGUGCGAUGGGGGGACGGAUCGCGGAAAAUCAUCAGGGUGUUGGAUGUCCCUGUUGCUGCAUCGAAGAUGGCGCUUAGGCAAAUCCGGGCGCGUAAAUCAAGGGUGUGGCACGAGCGAGCAUUGCUUGCGAAGUGAUCGGAAGUGGUUCCAAGAAAAGCCUCUAAGCUUCAGCUGUACGAGACCGUACCGCAAACCGACACAGGUGGACGGGAUGAAUAUUCCAAGGCGCUUGAGAGAACUCAGGAGAAGGAACUCGGCAAAUUGAUACCGUAACUUCGGGAGAAGGUAUACCCCGGUAGUGUGAAGCGCCUGCGCGCUUAGCAUGAUGGGGUCGCAGAGAAUCGGUGGCUGCGACUGUUUAUUAAAAACACAGCACUCUGCAAAGACGAAAGUCGACGUAUAGGGUGUGACGCCUGCCCGGUGCCGGAAGGUUAAGUGAUGGGGUGCAAGCUCUUGAUCGAAGCCCCGGUAAACGGCGGCCGUAACUAUAACGGUCCUAAGGUAGCGAAAUUCCUUGUCGGGUAAGUUCCGACCUGCACGAAUGGCGUAACGAUGGCCACAC
This 1970-nucleotide ribosomal RNA is filed under the name soil metagenome. RNAcentral's name for it is "bacterial LSU rRNA". It matches the Rfam family "Bacterial large subunit ribosomal RNA", at positions 3 to 2016 of the family's 2925-position model. The record is from RNAcentral.